UGGGGAAUAUUGCACAAUAGGGGAAACCCUGAUGCAGCGACGCCGCGUGAACGAAGAAGGUAUUCGUAUCGUAAAGUUCUGUCCUAUGGGAAGAUAAUGACAGUACCAUAGAAGAAAGCUCCGGCUAAAUACGUGCCAGCAGCCGCGGUAAUACGUAUGGAGCGAGCGUUGUCCGGAAUUAUUGGGCGUAAAGGGUACGCAGGCGGUUUAAUAAGUCGAAUGUUAAAGAUCGGGGCUCAACCCCGUAAAGCAUUGGAAACUGAUAAACUUGAGUAGUGGAGAGGAAAGUGGAAUUCCUAGUGUAGUGGUGAAAUACGUAGAUAUUAGGAGGAAUACCAGUAGCGAAGGCGACUUUCUGGACACAAACUGACGCUGAGGUACGAAAGCGUGGGGAGCAAACAGG
RNAcentral lists this ribosomal RNA (403 nucleotides) under bacterium. RNAcentral's name for it is "partial 16S ribosomal RNA". It matches the Rfam family "Bacterial small subunit ribosomal RNA", at positions 355 to 776 of the family's 1533-position model. The record is from RNAcentral.